RNAcentral lists this ribosomal RNA (433 nucleotides) under uncultured bacterium. RNAcentral describes it as "partial 16S ribosomal RNA". It matches the Rfam family "Bacterial small subunit ribosomal RNA", at positions 29 to 507 of the family's 1533-position model. The record is from RNAcentral.
AACGAACGCUGGCGGCAUGCCUAACACAUGCAAGUCGAACGAGACCUUCGGGUCUAGUGGCGCACGGGUGCGUAACGCGUGGGAACCUGCCCUUAGGUUCGGAAUAACUCCCCGAAAGGGGUGCUAAUACCGGAUAAUGUCUUCGGACCAAAGAUUUAUCGCCUUUGGAUGGGCCCGCGUUGGAUUAGCUAGUUGGUAGGGUAAAAGCCUACCAAGGCGACGAUCCAUAGCUGGUCUGAGAGGAUGAUCAGCCACACUGGGACUGAGACACGGCCCAGACUCCACGGGGAGGAAGAGGGGGGGAAUAUGGAAAAGGGGGGAAAGUCUUAACCCGAAAGUGCCGGGGGGGUGAAGAGGGCUUGGGGUUUGAAAAGUUUUUUCCCCGGGGAGAAAAAGGACAUGACGGGAGAAAUAAGCGCCGACUACCCCCGUC